Long non-coding RNA from Zalophus californianus (California sea lion), 1007 nucleotides. RefSeq lists it as uncharacterized. The transcript has 4 exons. Lineage: Eukaryota; Metazoa; Chordata; Mammalia; Carnivora; Otariidae. The record is from RefSeq and is a predicted model, not a curated record.
CUCAAACACCAUCUGCUUGGCGUCCUCCUUGCUGAUGGCCUGGACCAACAAAAACUCCGCCUCGGAGGUGGCCGCAUAGCCCAGCCUGCCCAGAAGGGUGUGCAGCGUGUAUUCGGAGAGUACAGGCUGCACCCGGAGUGUGCUCUGCUGGUGUGUGGGACAAACUGCAAGGCCCAGCGUGCUAACACCCCCGGCCAACCCUCGGCCACUCCAGGAGGGUGAGUGCACAGAAGCCCUGGCUUCUUGCCCUCCGCGGCGGCGGGACAGUUCUGAGGUGUGUUCUCCACUCUUGCAGAGGCUCCCCAGCGGUGGCCCAUGGCAAUAACCCGCUUUCAUGGUUCUCGUCCCUCCCUUGUCUUCAUUCCCUACUCCUCUUGUGCUUCCUGCAGUCACCUCCCAAAGAAACCGCACACAAAUCCUUGGACUGCUUUUGGAGUAACAGAGCCCAGCAGUUACUUCUGUACCCUUGACCUGCGUGCCCUUGACCCUUCCUCCGUGCACUCACCAUCUCCCUCCCUCCCCGCCUUCUGCCCUCCAUUUUGUUUUUGUUUUUGUUCUCCUUUUACAGUUCACUGGUUUAUUCUCAGAAUUGAGAUUCGAAUUAUGCCCUGUGGCCCGGAGGGGUGAGGAUCAUGCUAGAAUCUCACCAUAUCCCAGCCUUCCCUCAGAAGGAAGUAGAUUAAAAUGACAACAGAGGAGAUAUUUCCUUUUCAUACAGACCCAGGCCGUGACACACAGAGAGGAAUUUGUUUCCAUCAUCAUUGAACUGAAUGCUCUUGCCAGUUGUCCGCUGCACAAGGCACUCCCCACCCACCCCCAGGGUUUGCCACCCAGAGAAGAACCAGCCCAUUGCUCCCGUGGGAGAAUGAAGGUGACACGGUGGGCAGCGGAGCCAAGAGAGGCGAUACAGCUGCCUAUGUUCUUGGACCUCCUGGAUCCAGCCAAGCCUGAAGUCAAAAUUAUCACUUGGACUAUUUAGUUACAUGAGUCAAUAAAUGUCCUUUCUU